Molecule: ribosomal RNA, 260 nt
Filed under: uncultured bacterium
Lineage: Bacteria
Description: partial 16S ribosomal RNA
Rfam family: Bacterial small subunit ribosomal RNA
Source: RNAcentral
UACGUAGGGGGCAAGCGUUGUCCGGAUUUAUUGGGCGUAAAGCGCGUGUAGGUGGCCAAGUAGGUCCGCUGUGAAAACUUGAGGCUACAACCCGUCAAGCUGUCGGUGGAAACCCCUUGGCUAGAGUCCGGAAGAGGAGAGUGGAAAUUCCGUGGUGUAGCGGUUGAAAUGCGCAGGAUAUCAGGAAGAACACCCGUGGCUAAGGCGGCUCUCUAGUACGGUACUGACGCUGAGACGCGAAAGCGUGGGGAGCGAACAGG